GGAACCCUGACGAAAAGCCUCUAGUAUUACCAGCGGCACAGACUGUUUCCCAAUCUGAGAUUGUUGAAAGAACUAAUACGAAACCAUUAAAGGAAGAAUCAGCGCCUCCUGCUCAGAAAGUACAGAAAGAGAAGAACAACAAGCAGCCAAAAGAAGCAAGUAGCAAAGUUACAGAAAGUACCACGAAAAAGUACAUCUUUGAUAUCGAAGAGGAAAUCCAUGGUUUAGAAAAGCAACCCAAGGAUAUGACUUCCAAGAAGGAAGUUGAUGAAGCGAAAUUGAGGGAGAUGAAGAGAGAGGAAGAAAUAGCAAAAAAUAAGAAGGCAAUGGAGAGGAAGAAGAAGUUGGCCGAGAAAGCAGCUGCCAAAGCAGCAAUAAAAGCUCAAAAAGAAGCUGAAAGGAAGCUCAAGGAAAUUAUCCUUAUCAUUCUAUCAUUUCUCUCUUGUUUUAUGUUGUAGGAAUUUACAUUAGCUAUGAACUUAUAUAGAAUCUUUACUCCUUUCAGGAACGUGAGAAGAAGGCGAAGAAGAAAACUGGAGCAUCUGUUCCUGCUGAAGAAUCUACUGAGGAACCAACUGAAGCAGCUGCGGAAGUUGCUGAGGAAGAGAAGGCGGAGGAAAAGGUUGAAACAUCGGUUGCACCUAAGGUUAAGGCACCGAAAGAGAAUACUAUCAGGAGCCGAUCAAAGCGUGCAAAAGGCAUGGAUAUUCCUAAAACUAUACUGAAGCGGAAAAAGGCGAUGAACUAUUGGCUAUGGGCUGCUCCUGCUGCUCUUGUAGUUCCACUACUACUAGUAGCAUACAAGUAUAUUCUCUAGAUUAUUAUGAAAGUCAAAAGUAGAGGGGGAGUAAAAGAGGUGGAAAACCUGGUAUUGCUUACAAUUUUGUAUUGGCAAGUUCUGUUUUUGUAAUCUUUAAGUCAUGCCU
RNAcentral lists this long non-coding RNA (926 nucleotides) under Nicotiana tabacum (common tobacco). RNAcentral's name for it is "long non-coding RNA (NTAB_LNC001637)". Lineage: Eukaryota; Viridiplantae; Streptophyta; Magnoliopsida; Solanales; Solanaceae. The record is from RNAcentral.